This is a long non-coding RNA of Dermochelys coriacea (leatherback sea turtle), 225 nucleotides long. RefSeq lists it as uncharacterized. NCBI's taxonomy places the organism in Eukaryota, Metazoa, Chordata, Testudines, Dermochelyidae. The record is from RefSeq and is a predicted model, not a curated record. The transcript has 3 exons.
UCCUCACCUACUCCCUCCUGGGGGAAGCCCAGCAGCUGGUGGGGGACAAGAAGGAGGAGGUCACGGCCAAUGUGAUGCGCCAGCUCGGCAUCAUCCAGCUCUCGCGCCAGGUGCCUGAGGCACUGCAGCGGCUGUGCCUCUGAGGCCACCAGCAACUCCCACUCCCUGCUGCAGGGUCCUUUCCUCUGCCCCCCAAAUUCCUUCAUCUAGGGCAGGAGCUCUUUC